GACGAACGCUGGCGGCGUGCCUAAUACAUGCAAGUUGAGCGAUGAAGAUUGGUGCUUGCACCAAUUUGAAGAGCAGCGAACGGGUGAGUAACGCGUGGGGAAUCUGCCUUUGAGCGGGGGACAACAUUUGGAAACGAAUGCUAAUACCGCAUAAUAACUUUAAACAUAAGUUUUAAGUUUGAAAGAUGCAAUUGCAUCACUCAAAGAUGAUCCCGCGCUGUAUUAGCUAGUUGGUGAGGUAAAGGCUCACCAAGGCGAUGAUACAUAGCCGACCUGAGAGGGUGAUCGGCCACAUUGGGACUGAGACACGGCCCAAACUCCUACGGGAGGCAGCAGUAGGGAAUCUUCGGCAAUGGACGAAAGUCUGACCGAGCAACGCCGCGUGAGUGAAGAAGGUUUUCGGAUCGUAAAACUCUGUUGGUAGAGAAGAACGUUGGUGAGAGUGGAAAGCUCAUCAAGUGACGGUAACUACCCAGAAAGGGACGGCUAACUACGUG
This 497-nucleotide ribosomal RNA is filed under the name uncultured bacterium. RNAcentral describes it as "partial 16S ribosomal RNA". It matches the Rfam family "Bacterial small subunit ribosomal RNA", at positions 28 to 507 of the family's 1533-position model. The record is from RNAcentral.